CGGGAAUUAGCUCAGCUUGGUAGAGCGCAGCGUUCGGGACGCUGAGGUCGCACGUUCGAAUCGUGUAUUCCCGA
Molecule: transfer RNA, 74 nt
Rfam family: tRNA
About the family: Transfer RNA (tRNA) molecules are approximately 80 nucleotides in length. Their secondary structure includes four short double-helical elements and three loops (D, anti-codon, and T loops).
Source: Rfam